This 344-nucleotide RNase P RNA is filed under the name Dysgonamonadaceae bacterium. RNAcentral's name for it is "RNase P RNA component class A". It matches the Rfam family "Bacterial RNase P class A". Rfam says of the family: Ribonuclease P (RNase P) is a ubiquitous endoribonuclease, found in archaea, bacteria and eukarya as well as chloroplasts and mitochondria. Its best characterised activity is the generation of mature 5'-ends of tRNAs by cleaving the 5'-leader elements of precursor-tRNAs. Lineage: Bacteria; Pseudomonadati; Bacteroidota; Bacteroidia; Bacteroidales; Dysgonomonadaceae. The record is from RNAcentral.
GUAGUCAAUCGAUCUGUCGCUUUUUAGCAAUAAAAAGAGGAAAGUCCGGACAAUACAGAGCACCCUACUAUCUAACGGAUAGCUGUUUGCGAGAGCAGAGUUAAGUAGAAGAAAAGAACCGCCUUCUACGGAAGGUAAGGGUGAGAAGGUGAGGUAAGAGCUUACCGGUUCUUAUAGCAAUAUAAGAAGCCGUACUGCUUAGGGAUUGCAAGAUCAUGUACACCGGCGCACGUAGGAUGGCUCGUCCGAUGCCGGGGGGUAGAUCGCUAAAGUUUAACGGCGACGUUAAAUGUAGAUAAAUGACAGAUAUUCAACAGAAUCCGGCUUAUAGAUUGACUACUUUU